Molecule: ribosomal RNA, 405 nt
Filed under: Pteronarcys californica
Lineage: Eukaryota; Metazoa; Arthropoda; Insecta; Plecoptera; Pteronarcyidae
Description: partial 12S ribosomal RNA
Rfam family: Microsporidia small subunit ribosomal RNA (bases 51-405)
Source: RNAcentral
UAAACUACGAUUAGAUACCCUAUUAUUUUAAACGUUAAAUAUAAAUACUUGAGUAGUAAUAGUUAUAUUCUUGAAACUCAAAGAAUUUGGCGGUGUUUUAGUCCUUUCAGAGGAACCUGUCCCGUAAUCGAUAGCCCACGUUAGACCUUACUUAAUUUAGUAAUCAGCUUGUAUACCGCCGUCGUCAGAAUGUCCUUAGAGGGAGAAAAUUUUCUUGAAUUUUAAUUAGAAAUGAUGUCAGGUCAAGGUGCAGUUAAUAAUUAAGUGGUGAUGGGUUACAAUAAAUUUAUUUAUUAUGAAUAAUGACUUGUAAUAGUUGUUUGAAGGUGGAUUUGAUGGUAAUUAUAUUAAGUUUAUUUAAUUGAUUUUGGCUCUAAAACAUGCACACAUCGCCCGUCGCUCUUA